RNAcentral lists this transfer RNA (84 nucleotides) under Candidatus Eiseniibacteriota bacterium. RNAcentral's name for it is "tRNA-Leu". It matches the Rfam family "tRNA". Rfam says of the family: Transfer RNA (tRNA) molecules are approximately 80 nucleotides in length. Their secondary structure includes four short double-helical elements and three loops (D, anti-codon, and T loops). Further hydrogen bonds mediate the characteristic L-shaped molecular structure. tRNAs have two regions of fundamental functional importance: the anti-codon, which is responsible for specific mRNA codon recognition, and the 3' end, to which the tRNAs corresponding amino acid is attached (by aminoacyl-tRNA synthetases). tRNAs cope with the degeneracy of the genetic code in two manners: having more than one tRNA (with a specific anti-codon) for a particular amino acid; and 'wobble' base-pairing, i.e. permitting non-standard base-pairing at the 3rd anti-codon position. The record is from RNAcentral. Lineage: Bacteria; Candidatus Eiseniibacteriota.
GCCGGGGUGGCGGAAUGGCAGACGCGGCGGACUUAAAAUCCGCUUGAGUAAUCCUCAGUGGGGGUUCGAGUCCCCCCCUCGGCA